Molecule: ribosomal RNA, 1287 nt
Filed under: metagenome
Description: bacterial SSU rRNA
Rfam family: Bacterial small subunit ribosomal RNA
Source: RNAcentral
UAGCUAGUUGGUGAGGUAAAGGCUUACCAAGGCGACGAUCUGUAGCGGGUCUGAGAGGAUGAUCCGCCACACUGGAACUGAGACACGGUCCAGACUCCUACGGGAGGCAGCAGUGGGGAAUUUUGGACAAUGGGGGCAACCCUGAUCCAGCCAUGCCGCGUGAGUGAAGAAGGCCUUCGGGUUGUAAAGCUCUUUCGGCCGGGAAGAAAUCGCAUGGGCCAAUACCCUGUGUGGAUGACGGUACCGGAAUAAGAAGCACCGGCUAACUACGUGCCAGCAGCCGCGGUAAUACGUAGGGUGCGAGCGUUAAUCGGAAUUACUGGGCGUAAAGCGUGCGCAGGCGGUUUUGUAAGACAGGCGUGAAAUCCCCGGGCUUAACCUGGGAACUGCGUUUGUGACUGCAAGGCUAGAGUACGGCGGAGGGGGGUGGAAUUCCACGUGUAGCAGUGAAAUGCGUAGAGAUGUGGAGGAACACCAAUGGCGAAGGCAGCCCCCUGGGUCGAUACUGACGCUCAUGCACGAAAGCGUGGGUAGCAAACAGGAUUAGAUACCCUGGUAGUCCACGCCCUAAACUAUGUCAACUAGGUGUUGGGUGGGUAAAACCAUUUAGUACCGUAGCUAACGCGUGAAGUUGACCGCCUGGGGAGUACGGCCGCAAGGUUAAAACUCAAAGGAAUUGACGGGGACCCGCACAAGCGGUGGAUGAUGUGGAUUAAUUCGAUGCAACGCGAAAAACCUUACCUACCCUUGACAUGCCAGGAACUUGCCAGAGAUGGCUUGGUGCCCGAAAGGGAGCCUGGACACAGGUGCUGCAUGGCUGUCGUCAGCUCGUGUCGUGAGAUGUUGGGUUAAGUCCCGCAACGAGCGCAACCCUUGUCGUUAAUUGCCAUCAUUUAGUUGGGCACUUUAACGAGACUGCCGGUGACAAACCGGAGGAAGGUGGGGAUGACGUCAAGUCCUCAUGGCCCUUAUGGGUAGGGCUUCACACGUCAUACAAUGGUCGGUACAAAGGGUUGCCAAGCCGCGAGGCGGAGCCAAUCCCAGAAAGCCGAUCGUAGUCCGGAUUGCAGGCUGCAACUCGCCUGCAUGAAGUCGGAAUCGCUAGUAAUCGUGGAUCAGCAUGUCACGGUGAAUACGUUCCCGGGUCUUGUACACACCGCCCGUCACACCAUGGGAGCGGGUUCCGCCAGAAGUAGGUAGCCUAACCGCAAGGGGGGCGCUUACCACGGCGGGGUUCGUGACUGGGGUGAAGUCGAAACAAGGUAGCCGUAGGGGAACCUGCGGCUG